CCUACGGGGGACAGCAGUGAGGAAUAUUGGUCAAUGGGAGGAAUCCUGAACCAGCCAUGCCGCGUGCAGGACGACGGCUCUACGAGUUGUAAACUGCUUUUGUACCGGGGUAAAAUGCUCUACGAGUAGGGUUUUGAAAGUACGGUACGAAUAAGGAUCGGCUAACUCCGUGCCAGCAGCCGCGGUAAUACGGAGGAUCCGAGCGUUAUCCGGAUUCAUUGGGUUUAAAGGGUGCGUAGGUUGUUUUAUAAGUUAGCGGUGAAAUACCGAUGCUCAACAUCGGGGCUGCCGCUAAUACUGUAGGACUAGAGAUCGGAUGCAGCAGGCGGAAUGUGUAGUGUAGCGGUGAAAUGCAUAGAUAUCACGCAGAACUCCGAUUGCGAAGGCAGCAUACCGGCGCUCAACUGACGCUCAUGCACGAAAGUGUGGGUAUCGAACAGGAUUAGAUACCCCUGUAGUC
Molecule: ribosomal RNA, 460 nt
Filed under: uncultured bacterium
Lineage: Bacteria
Description: partial 16S ribosomal RNA
Rfam family: Bacterial small subunit ribosomal RNA
Source: RNAcentral